Molecule: ribosomal RNA, 397 nt
Filed under: uncultured bacterium
Lineage: Bacteria
Description: partial 16S ribosomal RNA
Rfam family: Bacterial small subunit ribosomal RNA
Source: RNAcentral
AUACGUAGGUGACAAGCGUUAUCCGGAUUUACUGGGCGUAAAGGGCGUGUAGGCGGUCUUGCAAGUCAGAAGUGAAAUUCCUGAGCUCAACUCGGGCGCUGCUUCUGAAACCGCCGGUCUUGAGUGCUGGAGGGGAUAGCGGAAUUCCUAGUGGAGCGGUAAAAUGCGCAGAUAUUAGGAAGAACACCGGUGGCGAAGGCGGAUAUCUGGGCUGAAACUGACGCUGAGGCGCGAAAGGGUGGGGAGCAAACAGGAUGAGAUACCCUGGUAGUCCACGCUGUAAACGAUGAUUGCUAGGUGUAAGAGGUAUCGACCCUGUUUGUGCCGCAGUCAACGCAAUAAGCAUUCCGCCUGGGGAGUACGGUCGCAAGGUUGAAACUCAAAUGAAUUGACGGGU